RNAcentral lists this ribosomal RNA (338 nucleotides) under uncultured Clostridium sp. RNAcentral describes it as "bacterial SSU rRNA". It matches the Rfam family "Bacterial small subunit ribosomal RNA", at positions 440 to 795 of the family's 1533-position model. The record is from RNAcentral. Lineage: Bacteria; Bacillati; Bacillota; Clostridia; Eubacteriales; Clostridiaceae.
CAGGGACGAUAAUGACGGUACCUGAGGAGGAAGCCACGGCUAACUACAUGCCAGCAGCCGCGGUAAUAGGUAGGUGGCAAGCGUUGUCCGGAUUUACUGGGCGUAAAGGGAGCGUAGGCGGAUACUUAAGUGGGAUGUGAAAUACCCGGGCUCAACUCGGGUGCUGCAUUCCAAACUGGGUGUCUAGAGUGCAGGAGAGGAAAGUGGAAUUCCUAGUGUAGCGGUGAAAUGCGUAGAGAUUAGGAAGAACACCAGUGGCGAAGGCGACUUUCUGGACUGUAACAGACGCUGAGGCUCGAAAGCGUGGGGAGCAAACAGGAUUAGAUACCCUGGUAGUC